Molecule: long non-coding RNA, 1494 nt
Organism: Anopheles coluzzii
Lineage: Eukaryota; Metazoa; Arthropoda; Insecta; Diptera; Culicidae
Exons: 2
Source: RefSeq, a predicted model, not a curated record
AUCAAGGUUAGUUGAGGAUAGAGGUUGAAGCAUCCAGUGUAAAUUGACAAGCAGCUGUGGCAAAAUUUUGACAGUUCGGUAAGAGGUUGUUUAUGUUCUCAGACCUACGGCAUGUGGAUGUGGACUCGUGUAGAAACAAACAUUGUAAAUCUGUGUCGCGCAAUAGAGUUGUGAAAAAUCACUAAAUUUGUACAAAGCAUAUCGUUUAUAUUGAUCUAAGUACAUCACACGGCUUUCUAAAAAGUGUGCAUCAUGUCAACCUGCGCUGCAUCCUUUUGCCAACACAGCCGCUACAUAGUGAAAAAAAUGGGUCUGGAUGUAAUUUUUCAUAAAUUUCCAACAGACCCAACGCUGUUACGCAAAUGGGUAGAAUUUUGUCAACGAGAGGAAGCUUGGGUGCCAUCGAUAAACAGCAUUUUAUGUUCAGCACAUUUCAACAAAACUGACUACCAGCUAAUCAAUUCGCCUUCGAAGGCUAAUAGAAAAAUUUUAAAAAAGCUUAAGCCGUCUGGUAAGUUUUCAUGUAAUGUCCCACACUAAUCUAUACUAAUAUAAGCAUACAUUUGAUAAAGUUACUAAAUUUGAAGGGUUCAUACAUGUAGCUGCUGUUUCUUCGACGUUUCGCCCAACGUCGAUGUUUUACUCCGAAUCGAGUUCAUGUUUUCCUUUGUAGACCAUAAGGAUACUCCGACUUUUAAGUAUUGAACGAGUUAUUAGGAACGCAAUGAUAAGCAACCAGAAAGUAAAUAAUCAAGUUCAUUAUUAAAACCAGGACUAAUUAUCGUGAACGAUUCGCAAAGACUAAUAUGAUCUGCAUACAUCAUCUACAUCAGUGGUCUCCAACCUGUGGUCCGUUGCGUUAACAGACGUGGUCCACGAAAGAAUUAUUUUUGAAAAAGAACAGCUUAAUACUAUGGAUUAUAGUACACAAUCAUUAUAAAAUUUUCAACAAGCAUAUCUAAAAUGAGAUUUAAUCGUAUUUUUGAUCAAAAACAUUAAGUAAAGUUAAAAAAAGUAUGCACUCAUUAGAUGUGAGCCGCGGCAAAUGUAUUUUCAAGCCAAGUGGUCCGCGAUCCUAAAAAGGUUGGAGAGCACUGAUCUACAUCAUUGCACACAUCUUGCUUUCUCAAACUUCCUUCUCAAAUUGUGCCAUUAACCCUUACCGUUUUAAAUUUUGUUUGCUUCGUUGUUCCCAGUUGCUUCAUUAGAAUGUGCGCAGCAUAUAUUCUUACAGGUCAUCCACCAAAUCCGAAGUUUUGUUUUACUUUAUGUGAUUUUAGUACUAUUUUCAGUUCCAACAUCCGUUCAACGCAGGUUUUAUAGGAAAGAGCUUCUUUUGAAAAUCCUGCGAUUGAUUUGUUCGUAAAAUCCUACCGUGUAUGCUUCCGCCGUGAAUCGCUCCGGUGCGAUACUUUUCGAUGUUCAUAUAGAUCUGCACAUACAUUCAUUUAUUUUUGGUAAUCGAUGGUUUGUCCGCCAGUUCACCAUCGAAUG